UGUCAUUUAACCUUCAUUUGACUUGAAUGUAUUUCGUACAUAACAUUUUGGGGCUUAAUGUUUGUUCUAUGUUUGAAAACAGGUCAUUCUUGUAUCUGGUGAGACUGGGUGCGGAAAGACAACACAGCUAAUACUGAUAAAUUCACAUAUAACAAUUAUCACGAAGGUCAGGUUCUUAAGAAGGGAAAUAAGGAACACUACAUUAGAGGUGGUUAUAUUCUUAGAUUGGGUUCUUGGUGACUUCCAAUCCUUGGUAAAGUGUCACGAUAUAGCAAAGAAACUGGUAUAAGGUGAAGUUGAGCCACCAUAAAAUGUUGCAUGUGGGUACGUUUGAAGAAAUAGCAUGUGAUGCACAAGUGACAGAUUUAAUCGAGGACAUGCCAAAUGAUAAGGUAGUUGAAUUAUAUGUGAUUGACAAGAAUGUGAAGGCAAUUAGUAAAAGUGACAAGGGUGCUGCUUCAAGUAAUGGAGAUAAAGGCAACAAAUUACAAAGUGAAAGUGACAAGAGUCAAGCUUCAACAAAUGCGGAGAAGGCAAACAAAAUGGUACCUGCAAAUGUGUUAAUUGAUGUAGGUGUGGUGCAAGAGUUUGAGAUAACAUAAUCUUUAAGUUAGGAUGACAGAUUUCAUGAAUUUUGGCAAGAUGGGGAAUUCACAAUAGAAAAUCAAGGAGAAAAAGAAGAUUCUGCAACAAAAACUUAGGGAAAAAAUAGGGAUGAUGAAGAUGUUGAGGGAGAUGAAAGUGAACAACCUAAAAUGUGGAGGAAAUAAUCAAAAUAGUGAUUAUGACCAGGAUUCAGAUCAGGAAAUUGAACAUGCACACGAGAAUGUGUUAGAAGAUGAUUUGUUUGAAAAACAGGUAGACAACC
Molecule: small RNA, 868 nt
Filed under: Malus domestica (apple)
Lineage: Eukaryota; Viridiplantae; Streptophyta; Magnoliopsida; Rosales; Rosaceae
Description: sRNA MD17G0116700
Source: RNAcentral